CGCGCAGGCGGCUGGCCAAGUCUGAUGUGAAAUCUUCCGGCUCAACUGGAAAAUGGCAUUAGAAACUGGCCGGCUGGAAGGUGGGAGAGGGCAGCGGAAUUCCCGGUGUAGUGGUGGAAUGCGUAGAUAUCGGGAGGAACACCAGUGGCGAAAGCGGCUGCCUGGCCCACUCUUGACGCUGAGGCGCGAAAGCUAGGGGAGCAAACGGGAUUAGAUACCCCGGUAGUCCUAGCCGUAAACGAUGAACACUAGGCGUUGUCGGUAUCGACCCCGGCAGUGCCGAAGCUAACGCAUUAAGUGUUCCGCCUGGGGAGUACGGCCGCAAGGCUAAA
This 332-nucleotide ribosomal RNA is filed under the name uncultured bacterium. Its description in RNAcentral is "bacterial SSU rRNA". It matches the Rfam family "Bacterial small subunit ribosomal RNA", at positions 568 to 898 of the family's 1533-position model. The record is from RNAcentral.